GCCCGUAUAGCUCAAUGGACAGAGCGUCUCCCUGACGGAGAGACAGAUGCCGGUUCGAGUCCGGCUGCGGGCG
Molecule: transfer RNA, 73 nt
Filed under: Actinomycetes bacterium
Lineage: Bacteria; Bacillati; Actinomycetota; Actinomycetes
Description: Actinobacteria bacterium tRNA-Val
Rfam family: tRNA
About the family: Transfer RNA (tRNA) molecules are approximately 80 nucleotides in length.
Source: RNAcentral